This 278-nucleotide long non-coding RNA is filed under the name Capsella rubella. Its description in RNAcentral is "long non-coding RNA (CRUB_LNC004836)". Lineage: Eukaryota; Viridiplantae; Streptophyta; Magnoliopsida; Brassicales; Brassicaceae. The record is from RNAcentral.
UUUUUUUUUUGUUCUUAAAGGGAAGCUAAAUUUCCCAUAGAUAAAAGAAAAAGUUCGUUCAUAGAAGAAUGAUUACAUUCGUACGUUGGUUUGAUAUCCCUACAUUCGUCCUGAUGGAGCACAUGCAUGCUAAUUUAUUCCACCUUUUUCUUUCUUUUUUCGCAAAUGAUUGUAACAAAAAUUUAAGAAUUUUUUUGUAAUGGCGUGCAUACUUAACGAACAUGACACAUUCACAACUUUUUUACAAUUUAAGAAUUUAUUAUUAGUUAUAAUUUAAC